This 468-nucleotide ribosomal RNA is filed under the name uncultured bacterium. RNAcentral describes it as "bacterial SSU rRNA". It matches the Rfam family "Bacterial small subunit ribosomal RNA", at positions 30 to 504 of the family's 1533-position model. The record is from RNAcentral.
UGAACGCUGGCGGCGUGCCUAAUACAUGCAAGUCGAACGAGAACUAUCGGAUCUUCGGAACUGAGAAAUUCUAGUGGCGAACGGGUGAGUAACGCGUUGGUGACCUGCCCCGAAGAGGGGGAUAACAGUUCGAAAGGACUGCUAAUACCCCAUGAGCUCACGAGAGUUAGAGGUCUUGUGAGGAAAAGGAGAAAUCCGCUUUGGGAGGGGCCUGCGUCCCAUCAGCUAGUUGGUAGGGUAAAAGCCUACCAAGGCGAUGACGGGUAGGGGACCUGAGAGGGUGGCCCCCCACAAUGGAACUGAAACACGGUCCAUACACCUACGGGUGGCAGCAGUAGGGAAUAUUGCUUAAUGGACGAAAGUCUGAAGCAGCAACGCCGCGUGUGCGAUGAAGGCCUUCGGGUUGUAAAGCACUUUUUGUAGGGAUGAGGAAGGACAGUACCUGCAGAAUAAGCCUCGGCUAACUAC